This is a long non-coding RNA of Xiphophorus hellerii (green swordtail), 2525 nucleotides long. RefSeq lists it as uncharacterized. Lineage: Eukaryota; Metazoa; Chordata; Actinopteri; Cyprinodontiformes; Poeciliidae. The transcript has 2 exons. The record is from RefSeq and is a predicted model, not a curated record.
ACAACACAGGAAGGAGAGCUGCUGAUACUGUACAUAAAAGUCAAAUGAUCUAUUUUAACUCUGGUCUUAUAUUUAUUACUUUCACCCUCCUGGGCUGAACUCUCAGAAGAGCUCAUAGGGGCAGCAGCAAGUUUUUAGGGAGGCGCCAAAGAUUUUGAAUUUUUUUGUAAUGAAUGUAUGCUUUACAUUAUAACUUAUAUGAAACUCGGCAUACAAUUAUACGAUGUUGUUCAUGUAUACAAACUCUCAGAUAUUUGAAAGUUCUGAACUUAAAUUAGAUCUUUAUGGGACCAACAUGGCGCCAUCAGACAUGGGACGUUUUAAACCUGCUUAUGUGUUGUGGGCCAACCUAUUAAUGUACUGUAAUUUGCAUGAGUUAAACGCUUUUUUCCCCCCUUCUUUUCGGAUAGGGCACCAAAACAGACUCUAGCCCAGGGACCCUUAUCUUUGUGAAUCCGGCCCUGUUCACUGCACAAACACACAUAGUUUAUGUUCUCUUCUCAUUGCAUAUAAAGAAGCAAAGAGAGAAGUAGAAAAUAAAAAUGUCCAGAUUUAUAUAAUGAACAGAAGAUAUUAAGAAAACUCUGAAAAAAGUAGGUAGCAUUAAUGAUAAUAAAAAAAAAAGAAGCUCCUGUUUCCUGCAGCUUACAUGUGCAUGAACGUGACAACAGAGUUCAGUAUUUCGUCUGCAGCGUUGUUUUCACUUGCGAGAAGUUCCCCAGCACACUCAAAUCAUAGAUUUUUACAGCCGAAGGGAAAUCUAGACCUCCUGUCCGUCAGCAGUGAUACAAUCAGAGUGUUUCUUGUUCUGUCAGCAGGAAUUAGUGAGAUUGUGGAGCUGCAGCCUCUGUAUUGAUUUACAGCGGCGAUGCUGCUGAUGCGGUCGCAGCGCUCCGCCGGGACCUUCAGUCGGUUGAAGCACUUUGUUAGACAGGAAGUGGCCGGGCUCAGAUAGCUCCAGGUUGAACACUGACUUCAUUCAUGCAUGUAUAAAAUGUACAUCAGUUAGACUGUGUUCGAAAACGGCUGAAUUCAAACUUUCACGUCAUAAUAACAAUUUUAACCAAUAGCCUAUAUUAAAAAAAGAUAUUUUUAUGAAUGUUGCGUACUGCAACUUUAACUGAAAGUAAAAUGGCACGCGUCUAAAUAAAUCUUUUUACAGACAAUAAUUACAAAGUGCGACGUUCAAACUCAAAUUCAACCAUAGAUUCAAAAGGCUGUUGAAGAAUGUUUUUUUUUCUUUUCUUUUCCGUUUUUCUAUUUUCGCAUACGCUCUGAUCGACAAGACGCUGCCGCCGCCAUGUUUCACCAUGGUGGCGCCAUGUGUAGAGUGCAGUGUUCGUUUUUGACCACAUUUAGGCCUGGUCGAAACAUUCAAAAAAAUGUUUAGAAGCAUGCAUCGUUCUACGACUCCUGCACGGCUUUGCGUUGGUCUAUUAAAUAAAAUCCGCCGAUAUCGGCAUUUCUUAUGUGAUAAAAUGUGGAAAAACGUUCGAGGAGCAUGAACACUUUUGCAGGGCCCUGCUUAUAUUCGGAUACAAAACAGAGCGUCCACGUCUGUACGUUAUUACAUCUCAACGAGGAUUAUAAGGAGAACAGGGGCGGCGGGUGAAGGAUGAGAAACGCCCCUGACUCGUCUCGUCUGGCAGCUUGUAAUGUGCAUGCAGAGGCUCUUCACCGACUGACAGCAUAAGCUGCUCCGUCUGAACACAAAAUCCCCCAUCUGCUCGUCAAACACGAGCUUGUCUUAUGAGAUCACUUGGUGGGACGUACAAGAUCACGCCACUCAGCUCCUUCAGACUAGCCAGCAGCAAUUAGCCAAACAUCUGAUGGAACAGCUGAGCUCAUUAUAGGAGCUGCUUCUCAGAGCAGCGCUGGUAAAAACGUUGCUAAAGGGUUAAUAGAGGAGCCAUGUUGUGACGACUUCCUGAAGGCGGAGUUUCAGAAAGAGCAGGAGCUUCUUAAAGAAACAGAAGCCCAAUUUCAAGGUGCUAAAUUACAAAGCCAAAUUUCAUUUAAGCAAUAUUUGAGAUAGCAGUUUUAUAACAAUUGAAGUUAACAUACUUGAUUGUGCUAUAAAGUGGCACCAUGUGCCUGGUAAAACAUACAAUGCCGCUCCUUUAAAGGCAGUUGCAGGGAUGUUACAUUGACAUGUCUGCAGGAGCGAUACAAACGCGUUCUGUUUUUGGUCUCCGACAACCAAACUGCCACCUGAUCUAGGCGCUCGGUUGAAAGGCUGAUGCUGUUUGGUAUCGCUAUGGCGGAAAAUGGGUCGACCGCAGAUUUCUGGAGGCGAGUUAUGCAAACCAGACAAUGGGAUUAAGUGAUCGGACGAGCAUCAGCUGAUGAUACUUUCACACAACCGACUCUGUGUGUCCUGUCUGCUGCUGAGUGAGAGGGGGGGGGGGGGGGGGGAGACCCGGAGCAGCUGCUUGUUGUUUUCAUCUGUGUGACCUGAAUGCAUCACAAUUUCAGUCUUGUGACGAGGCAUGCGAAGGAACACGGUUUACAGAAGAAGAAGAAGA